Molecule: long non-coding RNA, 436 nt
Organism: Xenia sp. Carnegie-2017
Lineage: Eukaryota; Metazoa; Cnidaria; Anthozoa; Malacalcyonacea; Xeniidae
Exons: 2
Source: RefSeq, a predicted model, not a curated record
UUGGAAGGAACGAUAUCAUCGUUACAGAGUCAGGGUUUUGACGAGGAUUCGCAGGCUGUGAAAGACAUCAGAGAAAUGAUGACUGACUACGAGAAGGAAAGAUUAGUGCGACUUGAGAAUAUCGUCAAAAAAUGCGAUCAUGGCGAAAUACAGGUUACAGAAACUCUUUUUGUAUUUUCACAAUUUGUUAUUUUGACGUGAUAUCAAGGUGGCUGAAUUCCGUGACAACGUCUUCCGCUGAACGAUCUAUUUAUUGUCAUAAAAUUUCUUUGAUCUGCUAGUGUGAUCUUUAACCGUUUGUAAAAGGGAAUUUAAAUCGUCCCUCUAUAAUAAUAUUAACGUAGGGCCCAUUUCAUACCUCAUAUUUUACAUACGCCAAAAACAUUGAAGACAAAAGAAAAUCAGAUGAAAUUCUUCAUUAUGUUUUGUUUAAAUU